GAGGCCAGCUGCCAUGCCAUAAAGACAUUCAGGCAGCUGAUGGAGAUACUGACCUGAUGUUGAGCUAUGGCUUCCUACCAUUAACAAGCAUUAACCUGACAAGGAUGUGAGUGAGCCACCUUGGAAGUCCAUCCUCCAGUCCCAGUCAAGUCUUUAGAUGACUACAGCCUCAGCUGAGAAUCUGAGCAUAAUAUCAUGAGAGUCUUGAAGCUAGAACUACUCAGCCAAGCUGCUUCUGAAUUCCUAACUCACAAAAACUCCAAUGACCGGUGAUGCAGAGUAAUGCUGGCCCAGUUCCUUUGCUUUGAUUUAUGACAAUAUGAAGAAUUAUUUCAAUUCCAGAGCUCUUCACAAUGUUUGCUGAGGUCCUUUGGCAAUUUCUCUUUUUACGCAAUGCUGCUUCCUUUAGUGCCAGGUAAUCAUCCUGUGAGAAUUCUCAUUAACAUUCUCUCAUCUCAGAGGCUUGGUUUGAGAGAAACCAAUCUUGACAGAGAAAGAAGAGGCUCUUCAUCUUAGUCUGACUGUUGUACAAGCAACUUUGAUGCUUGGCUUCUGUGAGCCAACAAAUAAAGUUCAUUCAUAUCAACUGUGGCAGACCAAGACUUACAGAACCAGCGGCAGACAUCCAGAGGAGAAUCUCAGUCACAGCCCUUGGGAUUUUAAGGGAAAGUGAAAGUAAAAUUGUCCUUUUAACUAAUAGCUCUUUUCAUGCUAUGGGGCCAUGGUAGGGACUAAAUGCAUGUUGACCACUUAUUUGUUUACCAUGUGACCUGAAC
RNAcentral lists this long non-coding RNA (776 nucleotides) under Pan troglodytes (chimpanzee). Its description in RNAcentral is "long non-coding RNA NONPTRT007810". The record is from RNAcentral. Lineage: Eukaryota; Metazoa; Chordata; Mammalia; Primates; Hominidae.